RNAcentral lists this unclassified non-coding RNA (345 nucleotides) under soil metagenome. Its description in RNAcentral is "partial contains 5.8S ribosomal RNA, internal transcribed spacer 2, and large subunit ribosomal RNA". The stretch from base 1 to 120 matches the Rfam family "5.8S ribosomal RNA", at positions 35 to 154 of the family's 154-position model. The record is from RNAcentral.
GAUGAAGAACGCAGCGAAAUGCGAUAAGUAAUGUGAAUUGCAGAAUUCAGUGAAUCAUCGAAUCUUUGAACGCACAUUGCGCCCGCUAGUAUUCUAGCGGGCAUGCCUGUUCGAGCGUCAUUUCAACCCUCAGGCCCAGCUUGGCGUUGGGGAUCGGCGCGGCCCCUCCGGGGGCUGCCGGCCCCGAAAACUAGUGGCGGUCUCGCUGUAGUCCUCCUCUGCGCAGUAGCUAACACUCGCACUGGAACGCGGCGCGGCCAUGCCGUAAAACAACCCACUUCUGAAAGUUGACCUCGGAUCAGGUAGGAAUACCCGCUGAACUUAAGCAUAUCAAUAAGCGGAGGA